AAUAGAUACCCAGGUAGUCCACGCCGUAAACGAUGAGUGCUAAGUGUUAGAGGGUUUCCGCCCUUUAGUGCUGCAGCUAACGCAUUAAGCACUCCGCCUGGGGAGUACGGCCGCAAGGCUGAAACUCAAAGGAAUUGACGGGGGCCCGCACAAGCGGUGGAGCAUGUGGUUUAAUUCGAAGCAACGCGAAGAACCUUACCAGGUCUUGACAUCCUCCGACACUCCUAGAGAUAGGACUUUCCCCUUCGGGGGACAGAGUGACAGGUGGUGCAUGGUUGUCGUCAGCUCGUGUCGUGAGAUGUUGGGUUAAGUCCCGCAACGAGCGCAACCCUUGAUCUUAGUUGCCAGCAUUCAGUUGGGCACUCUAAGGUGACUGCCGGUGACAAACCGGAGGAAGGUGGGGAUGACGUCAAAUCAUCAUGCCCCUUAUGACCUGGGCUACACACGUGCUACAAUGGAUGGUACAAAGGGCUGCAAGACCGCGAGGUUUAGCCAAUCCCAUAAAACCAUUCUCAGUUCGGAUUGCAGG
This 529-nucleotide ribosomal RNA is filed under the name uncultured bacterium. RNAcentral describes it as "bacterial SSU rRNA". It matches the Rfam family "Bacterial small subunit ribosomal RNA", at positions 777 to 1304 of the family's 1533-position model. The record is from RNAcentral.